GGGGGCGACAUGGCUUUCGACGCGGAUAGCAAAACCUGAGGUGCAUGUCGAGGAUGUAGAUUCCCUCGUUAAUCCAUCUGCAAACUGAUAGUUGCCAACGACGACAACUACGCACUCGCCG
This 121-nucleotide transfer-messenger RNA is filed under the name Thiolapillus brandeum. RNAcentral describes it as "partial transfer-messenger RNA". It matches the Rfam family "transfer-messenger RNA", at positions 1 to 123 of the family's 374-position model. From Rfam's summary of the family: Bacterial tmRNA, also known as 10Sa RNA or SsrA, is named for its dual tRNA and mRNA-like properties. Its role is to liberate the mRNA from a stalled ribosome. To accomplish this part of the tmRNA is used as a reading frame that ends in a translation stop signal. Lineage: Bacteria; Pseudomonadati; Pseudomonadota; Gammaproteobacteria; Chromatiales; Sedimenticolaceae. The record is from RNAcentral.